This 459-nucleotide ribosomal RNA is filed under the name uncultured bacterium. RNAcentral describes it as "partial 16S ribosomal RNA". It matches the Rfam family "Bacterial small subunit ribosomal RNA", at positions 338 to 795 of the family's 1533-position model. The record is from RNAcentral.
CCUACGGGAGGCAGCAGUGAGGAAUAUUGGUCAAUGGCCGAGAGGCUGAACCAGCCAAGUCGCGUGAGGGAAGACGGCCCUACGGGUUGUAAACCUCUUUUGUCGGGGAGCAAAGCGAACCACGUGUGGUUCAUUGAGAGUACCCUAAGAAAAAGCAUCGGCUAACUCCGUGCCAGCAGCCGCGGUAAUACGGAGGAUGCGAGCGUUAUCCGGAUUUAUUGGGGUUAAAGGGUGCGCAGGCGGCGGUGCAAGUCAGCGGUCAAAUUGCGGGGCUCAACCCCGUACUGCCGUUGAUACUGCAAGCCUUGAGUGCAGGUGAGGUAUGCGGAAUGCGUGGUGUAGCGGUGAAAUGCAUAGAUAUCACGCAGAACUCCGAUUGCGAAGGCAGCAUACCGGAGCGCAACUGACGCUCAUGCACGAAAGCGUGGGUAUCGAACAGGAUUAGAUACCCCAGUAGUC